RNAcentral lists this long non-coding RNA (902 nucleotides) under Marmota monax (woodchuck). Lineage: Eukaryota; Metazoa; Chordata; Mammalia; Rodentia; Sciuridae. The record is from RNAcentral.
GGCCUUGACUUCCCUUUGCUGGUGGGACAGGAACAGGAGGCAUAUGCUGGGUAUAGUGGGGUGGGAAACACCUCCUGCUCUUUGCACCCCUCUGUUCCCCACUGGGUCAUCACAGUGUUAGGCCCACAGCUGGUUACCAUUUGCCGGACCCAGCUCAGGCCCAGAAAGUAGAAGGAGGCUGUCCUCUGUCCUGUGGGAGAGCUGACCUGGCCAGGCAUCAGACAACCAGGGAAGCUUCUAGGGUUCUGGGGGGAGGGCGCUAAGGCAGGACCACCAACAGGAAAGAGCCCUGGAAACCUAUCCUGCUCUUCUCCUCCUGCAGCCAGGAGUGCCACCAUGAGAGGAAUUCCAGUUAAUGAGCAAACUCCUCAGGCAAGGAAGGAAGGUGGCUCUUGGGCCCUGCAUCUCGCGGCUCAAGUACAGGAAGUAAUUGGAUUCCACUUGCCAGGCCGAGGGAAGACAACAGAUACUGAGUGGGACCAGGAGGCCUUACAUCAUUGACUUCUCCACACCCAGGUCAGCUGGGCUCGGUGCAGGGCAACAGAAAGGAGAGAGGAUAGGCCUCAGCUGUGGGCGAGUCUCAUGGUAGCCUGGGGAGAGUGACACUGUGUGGGUGUCAGCAUGGGGCCAGGAACGUGUCGCAUGCAGACGGACUUGGGGCUGAUUCUGAGGCUUGGGUUGGAGGAGUAGUAUCCAGGUCCUGUAGUGUCAAGGAUCGUGUAAAAGCGUCCCCCCAUUCUCAGUAACAGUUCCCAAGUUCACCCGGGGCCUAUCUCCUCUGCUGGAGGAGCAAUCUCACCUGGAAGAGGUGGAGGCAUGUGAGUCACGGGCCAGGCCCCUGAACUAGGGGAGGUGGGGAUGAUGGCUGUGAGCCUGAAAUGUGUCACAGGCGAGAUGAGCAU